This 648-nucleotide long non-coding RNA is filed under the name Homo sapiens (human). RNAcentral describes it as "HSALNT0375937". Lineage: Eukaryota; Metazoa; Chordata; Mammalia; Primates; Hominidae. The record is from RNAcentral.
UUCUGCUACCACUUAAGUGUUAAUAGCUAAUAAUAGAGCAAGCUUGAUUACUACCUUGGUGUCCUAAAACGGAUGUUGGCCUGCCAGGGAGCAGCCAAGGUGAAGUUUUCAACCAGGCCGACCAACUUCAGAGUCCACUGGCUUCAAAACAGUGCUUUACAUCCUCCUUCCAACAUUAUUCACAAGCCGAUCAAGACUGAGAGAGUCACAAGUGUGUGAAACCUGUAUUCUUUCUGACUUCAUUUUCCCUGGUCGAAAUUUUUGUAGAAUAGACAAAUCAAGAAUGAUGACUUCUUAAGAUGCAGUAUUCAAGUUCAGAAAUCUAUACUCAGAUGACCUUAUGUAGGUCAUCUGCUUCUGAGGUUUAUCUCACCAGUGUCAUAGAAACCUGUAUUAAGAAAACAGAUUUCAGGAGCCUUUGAACAAGAAGAGAGAGGAAGAAUGACAUAACUGAACAAGAGAGAUGGCGAGCAGAGUUUCCUGAAUGCUGUGAGCAGAACAAUUGGACAGAUGAGGGAAGUCUGUGACAAUCCAGUGGAAUCACGCAGUGUGUUUAAGUAAAGCUCCCUUUGCUCAAAAUAAAUUUUAAAAGGAAAUUAAAUUCUAACCACGUCUUAGGCAUAAAAUGACCCUCUUUUCUUAUCUAGC